RNAcentral lists this transfer RNA (77 nucleotides) under Alphaproteobacteria bacterium. RNAcentral describes it as "tRNA-Arg". It matches the Rfam family "tRNA". Rfam says of the family: Transfer RNA (tRNA) molecules are approximately 80 nucleotides in length. Their secondary structure includes four short double-helical elements and three loops (D, anti-codon, and T loops). Lineage: Bacteria; Pseudomonadati; Pseudomonadota; Alphaproteobacteria. The record is from RNAcentral.
GGCCCCGUAGCUCAGGUGGAUAGAGCACCGGAUUCCUAAUCCGGGUGUCGCAGGUUCGAGUCCUGCCGGGGUCGCCA